GACGAACGCUGGCGGCGUGCUUAACACAUGCAAGUCGAACGGAAAGGCCCUGCUUUUGUGGGGUGCUCGAUUGGCGAACGGGUGAGUAACACGUGAGUAACCUGCCCUUGACUUUGGGAUAACUUCAGGAAACUGGGGCUAAUACCGGUUAGGAGCUCCUGCUGCACGGUGGGGGUUGGAAAGUUUCGGCGGUUGGGGCUGGACUCGCGGCUUAUCAGCUUGUUGGUGUGGUUGUGGCUUACCAAGGCUUUGACGGGUAGCCGGCCUGGGAGGGUGACCGGCCACAUGGGGACUGAGAUACGGCCCAGAAGCGUACGGGAGGCAGCAGGGGGGAAUAUUGCACAAUGGGCGGAAGCCUGAUGCGGCAACGCCGCGUGCGUGAUGACGGCCUUCGGGUGGUAAACAGCUUUCGCCGGUGACGAAGCGUGAGUGACGGUAAUGGGUAAAGAAGCACCGGCUAACUACGUG
This 468-nucleotide ribosomal RNA is filed under the name uncultured bacterium. RNAcentral's name for it is "partial 16S ribosomal RNA". It matches the Rfam family "Bacterial small subunit ribosomal RNA", at positions 28 to 507 of the family's 1533-position model. The record is from RNAcentral.